UCUUUGCUGGUAUAUCGGUAGAACACCACCCUGUCAUGUCACGUGAUCGAGCGGUGGAGAGCAGGGUUCGACUCCCUGGCAAAGAG
Molecule: non-coding RNA, 86 nt
Organism: Tulasnella sp. 408
Lineage: Eukaryota; Fungi; Basidiomycota; Agaricomycetes; Cantharellales; Tulasnellaceae
Source: the annotation of a GenBank genome assembly